UCAGGAGCUUGACUAGGCCAGAAGUUGAAG
Molecule: non-coding RNA, 30 nt
Filed under: Cricetulus griseus (Chinese hamster)
Lineage: Eukaryota; Metazoa; Chordata; Mammalia; Rodentia; Cricetidae
Source: RNAcentral